RNAcentral lists this ribosomal RNA (316 nucleotides) under uncultured Mucorales. RNAcentral's name for it is "SSU rRNA". It matches the Rfam family "Eukaryotic small subunit ribosomal RNA", at positions 39 to 352 of the family's 1831-position model. Lineage: Eukaryota; Fungi; Mucoromycota; Mucoromycetes; Mucorales. The record is from RNAcentral.
AAAGAUUAAGCCAUGCAAGUCUAAGUAUAAGCAAUUUAUACAGCGAAACUGCGAAUGGCUCAUUAAAUCAGUUAUGAUCUACAUGACAAAUUUUUUACUACUGGAUAACCGUGGUAAUUCUAGAGCUAAUACAUGCAGAAAAGCCCUGACUUCGGAAGGGGUGCACUUAUUAGGUAAAAACCAUCCCACCUUUACCGGUGGUUUUAUGGUGACUCAUAAUAAUUAAGCUGAUCGCAUGGCCUUGAGCCGGCGACGGUACAUUCGAUUUUCUGCCCUAUCAGGCUUAUGAUGGUAAGGUAGUGGCUUACCAUGGCUA